Molecule: ribosomal RNA, 253 nt
Filed under: uncultured bacterium
Lineage: Bacteria
Description: partial 16S ribosomal RNA
Rfam family: Bacterial small subunit ribosomal RNA
Source: RNAcentral
UACGUAGGGGGCAAGCGUUGUCCGGAAUCAUUGGGCGUAAAGAGCGUGUAGGCGGCUCGGUAAGUCCGCUGUGAAAGUCGGGGGCUCAACCCUCGAAAGCCGGUGGAUACUGUCGGGCUAGAGUGCGGAAGAGGCGAGUGGAAUUCCUGGUGUAGCGGUGAAAUGCGCAGAUAUCAGGAGGAACACCGAUUGCGAAGGCGGCGCCCUGGGUCGAUACUGACGCUGAUGCGCGAAAGCGUGGGGAGCAAACAGG